AGAGCGAACGCUGGCGGCAGGCUUAACACAUGCAAGUCGAGCGGGCGUAGCAAGUACGUCAGCGGCAGACGGGUGAGUAACGCGUGGGAACGUACCUUUUGGUUCGGAACAACCCAGGGAAACUUGGGCUAAAUACCGGAUAAGCCCUUACGGGGAAAGAUUUAUCGCCGAAAGAUCGGCCCGCGUCUGAUUAGCUAGUUGGUGAGGUAAUGGCUCACCAAGGCGACGAUCAGUAGCUGGUCUGAGAGGAUGAUCAGCCACAUUGGGACUGAGACACGGCCAAACUCCUACGGGAGGCAGCAGUGGGAAUUUUGCGCAAUGGGGAACCCUGACGCAGCAACGCCGCGUGGAGGAUGAAGUCCCUUGGGACGUAAACUCCUUUCGAUCGGGACGAUAAUGACGGUACCGAGAGAAGAAGCCCGGCUAACUUCGUGCCAGCAGCCGC
This 445-nucleotide ribosomal RNA is filed under the name uncultured bacterium. RNAcentral describes it as "SSU rRNA". It matches the Rfam family "Bacterial small subunit ribosomal RNA", at positions 26 to 518 of the family's 1533-position model. The record is from RNAcentral.